GAUGAACGCUGGCGGCGUGCCUAAUACAUGCAAGUCGAGCGAUCAAAUGAGGACCUUGCUCUUCUGAUGUUAUCGGCGGACGUGUGAGUAACAUGUGGAUAAUCCAUCUUUAAGACUGGGAUAACUUCGGGAAACUGGAUCUUAUCCCGUAUAAUAUAUUGAACCGUAUUGUUCAAUAGAGAAAGACGGUUUCGUCACUACCUAUUGAUGGAUCCGCGCCGCAUUAGCUAGUUGGUAAGGUAACGGCUUACCAAGGCAACGAUGCGUAGCCGACCUGAGAGGGUGAUCGGCCACACUGGAACUGAGACACGGUCCAGACUCCUACGGGAGGCAGCAGUAGGGAAUCUUCCGCAAAGGGCGAAAGCCUGACGGAGCAACGCCGCGUGAGUGAUGAAGGUCUUCGGAUCGUAAAACUCUGUUAUUAGGGAAGAACAAAUGUGUAAGUAACUAUGCACGUCUUGACGGUACCUAAUCAGAAAGCCACGGCUAACUACGUG
Molecule: ribosomal RNA, 497 nt
Filed under: uncultured bacterium
Lineage: Bacteria
Description: partial 16S ribosomal RNA
Rfam family: Bacterial small subunit ribosomal RNA
Source: RNAcentral